CCACAUCUCUAGGCACUUCAUCAUCGAAACGAAGCCUGUCAUAUCUCCAAACACUUCACCAUCAAGACAAACCUACCAUGCCUCCAAGCAUUUCAUCGUUGAAAUGAAGCUUGCCAUGUCUUAACACACUUGAUCACCGAAACGAAGCCUACCACAUCUCCGAACACUUCGUUACCAAGACGAAGCCUGCCAUGCCUCUUGGUACUUCAUCCUUGAGAUGAAGCCUACCAUGUCUCCAGACACUUCAUCACCAUGAUGGAGGCUGCCAUAUCUCCAGGCACUUCAUCAUCAAGAUGAACACCGCCACCUCUCCAAGCACCCC
Molecule: long non-coding RNA, 322 nt
Filed under: Elaeis guineensis (African oil palm)
Lineage: Eukaryota; Viridiplantae; Streptophyta; Magnoliopsida; Arecales; Arecaceae
Description: long non-coding RNA (EGUI_LNC023150)
Source: RNAcentral